RNAcentral lists this transfer RNA (72 nucleotides) under Anolis carolinensis (green anole). It matches the Rfam family "tRNA". Rfam says of the family: Transfer RNA (tRNA) molecules are approximately 80 nucleotides in length. Their secondary structure includes four short double-helical elements and three loops (D, anti-codon, and T loops). Lineage: Eukaryota; Metazoa; Chordata; Lepidosauria; Squamata; Anolidae. The record is from Rfam by way of RNAcentral.
GUGGGUAUAACUCAGUGGUAGAGCAUUUGACUGCAGAUCAAGAGGUUCCUGGUUUAAAUCUGGGUGCCACCU